Molecule: ribosomal RNA, 406 nt
Filed under: uncultured bacterium
Lineage: Bacteria
Description: partial 16S ribosomal RNA
Rfam family: Bacterial small subunit ribosomal RNA
Source: RNAcentral
AUUGAACGCUGGCGGCAGGCCUAACACAUGCAAGUCGAGCGAGCGGCGGACGGGUGAGUAAUGUCUGGGCAACUGCCUGAUGGAGGGGGAUAACUACUGGAAACGGUAGCUAAUACCGCAUACCAUCAGAUGUGCCCAGAUGGGAUUAGCUAGUAGGUGGGGUAAUGGCUCCCCUAGGCGACGAUCCCUUGCUGGGCUGAGAGGAUGACCAGCGACACUGGAACAGCGACCCGGGCCAGACUCCUACGGGAGGCAGCAGUGGGGAAUAUUGCACAAUGGGCGCAAGCCUGAUGCAGCCAUGCCGCGUGUAUGAAGAAGGCCUUCGGGUUGUAAAGUACUUUCAGCGGGGAGGCGUUACCCGCAGAAGAAGCACCGGCUAACGCCGUGCCAGCAGCCGCGGUAAUAC